RNAcentral lists this transfer RNA (85 nucleotides) under Syntrophomonadaceae bacterium. RNAcentral's name for it is "tRNA-Leu". It matches the Rfam family "tRNA". Rfam says of the family: Transfer RNA (tRNA) molecules are approximately 80 nucleotides in length. Their secondary structure includes four short double-helical elements and three loops (D, anti-codon, and T loops). Lineage: Bacteria; Bacillati; Bacillota; Clostridia; Eubacteriales; Syntrophomonadaceae. The record is from RNAcentral. RNAcentral also lists the same sequence under 1 other name.
GCGGCAGUGGCGGAACUGGCAGACGCGCACGUUUGAGGGGCGUGUCCUUCGCGGGGUAUGGGUUCAAGUCCCAUCUGCCGCACCA